GUAACACGUAGUCAACCUGCCCUGGAGACAUGGACAACCCCGGGAAACUGGGAUUAAUCCGUGAUAGGUCAUCUCAUCUGGAAGGAGAGAUGGCUUAAAGGGAUGCGCGGGCUUCUUCUGCGUAUUUGCUCCAGGAUGGGACUGCGUCCGAUCAGGCUGUUGGCGGGGUAAUGGCCCACCAAGCCAGUAACCGGUACGGGCCUUGAGAGAGGUGGCCCGGAGAUGGACACUGAGAGAAGGGUCCAGGUCCUACGGGGCGCAGCAGGCGCGAAACCUUCGCAAUGCGCGCAAGCGUGACGAGGUUAAUCCGAGUGAUUUCCGCUGAGGAGACCUUUUGUCUGCUGUAAAUAGGCAGGCGAAUAAGGGGAGGGCAAGCCUGGUGUCAGCCGCCGCGGUAAUACCAGCUCCUCGAGUGGUCGGGGCGAUUAUUGGGCCUAAAGCAUCCGUAGCCGGUUCCGUAGGUCCUCUGUUAAAUCCAACCGCCCAACGGUUGGCCUGCAGAGGAUACCGCGAGACU
This 517-nucleotide ribosomal RNA is filed under the name uncultured archaeon. RNAcentral describes it as "bacterial SSU rRNA". It matches the Rfam family "Archaeal small subunit ribosomal RNA", at positions 93 to 593 of the family's 1478-position model. The record is from RNAcentral.